This 410-nucleotide ribosomal RNA is filed under the name uncultured Nocardioides sp. RNAcentral describes it as "bacterial SSU rRNA". It matches the Rfam family "Bacterial small subunit ribosomal RNA", at positions 354 to 776 of the family's 1533-position model. The record is from RNAcentral. Lineage: Bacteria; Bacillati; Actinomycetota; Actinomycetes; Propionibacteriales; Nocardioidaceae.
GUGGGGAAUAUUGGACAAUGGGCGAAAGCCUGAUCCAGCAACGCCGCGUGAGGGAUGACGGCCUUCGGGUUGUAAACCUCUUUCAGUACCGACGAAGCGCAAGUGACGGUAGGUACAGAAGAAGCACCGGCCAACUACGUGCCAGCAGCCGCGGUAAUACGUAGGGUGCGAGCGUUGUCCGGAAUUAUUGGGCGUAAAGGGCUCGUAGGCGGUUUGUCGCGUCGAAAGUGAAAACUCAGGGCUUAACCCUGAGCCUGCUUCCGAUACGGGCAGACUAGAGGUAUGCAGGGGAGAACGGAAUUCCUGGUGUAGCGGUGAAAUGCGCAGAUAUCAGGAGGAACACCGGUGGCGAAGGCGGUUCUCUGGGCAUUACCUGACGCUGAGGAGCGAAAGUGUGGGGAGCGAACAGG